Molecule: long non-coding RNA, 6081 nt
Organism: Cyprinus carpio (common carp)
Lineage: Eukaryota; Metazoa; Chordata; Actinopteri; Cypriniformes; Cyprinidae
Source: Ensembl
AUGGACAAAGCACAAAGUGACGCAUCUGAGACAACCUCCAAACCUCGACGCAAGACUAAUCUGCCUACACAUCUGGAUGAUUAUGAUGUUGGCUACCAACCUUCAAGUGACCCUCCUCCAAAAGCUUCCUCUCAUUGUCCUAGUCAGCCCCGAAGCAGCUCGAGGAAAACGUCACACAGUGGUGUCAGCUCUCACUCCAGGACAAGUAGGCGUUCCAUUACUUCAGCUGGCGUCUAUGUCCCACCAGAGCUCUCUAGCGUCCAGACUGCUAUGUUGGAGGAGAAGAUUAAACAGAGACAGUAUGACAGUCUACGGCAGCAAGUAGAAGAGGACUCACUGAUUGAUCUGGAACACCAAAGACUGCAGGCACAAGCGAAAGAAGCCCAGUGUAUGCAAGAGGAGGCGCUUGCCGCAAAGGUGGCCUUGUCGAAACACCUAGAACGACAGCGUAAGCUUCAACAAGCAGAGACUGAACUUGAAGUAGCUAAGCUUGUAUCCCCCAUGCUCUCUAUGGACUCUGGUACGACCACUCCAGUUCCCCCAGACUCUGGUUCUCCAAACACGCAACAGCUUGCAAUGCAGCUCAACCAGGCUUGUUCACCUCAGCUCACUUCUUCCAAGCCUCAGCAGCCCCCCUUCCAGUCACCAGGUGUAACAUCAUCGCUGCUGCCAUGUCCUACUGAACUGCCUGAUCCUGAUGUCUCUGCAGUUUCCCUGCCAUCACCUAGACCGCCACAGUGGGCCCCACCUGUUACUUACUCUGCGGGUACGCCCUUGCCUGCCGCACUCCACCCAGGGCCACAAGCAUUCUCACCGCCAGUCCCUGACAUCGCACAAUCUGCCCAUACUGCCGUUCCAGUACACUCUGUAUCAUUAACAUCGAAUGUGGCACCUCAGCCUCCAACAGUGUACACCAUCCCGACAUCGGCUGCAUACCAGCGCGUGACCCAGCAACCUGUUACUGCCACACUACCUACCCUUGGCUACGGGCUACAACAGACAGCAACAAUGCCAGUGAAAACACUCCCAGUGCCAUCGCAGCUCCCUGUCUCCAGCCACCAAGCAUCGGCGAUGACACUUCAUGCUCCUGGUUACGUUCAAGCAGAUUCAUCUGUGCCUUUCCCCCCAGCUGUCUACUCACCUCACCCGAGUCCAGAGCUCCUGUUUGCAUCAGCCUAUGGCAUUCCACGACCCACAUUACCAGUUUUUGAAACUGGUGCUGAGAGUGACUUUGCAUUGUUUAAGUUAGCAUUGGACAAUUUGUUGAGUAAUCAUAAUCAUAUCAGUGAACAGUAUAAAUACCAUGUUCUACUAAGCCAUUUGAAACUUUCCGGUGCUCAUCAGCUAGCUAAAUCCUUCAUGUACCACCCCCAGCCUUACACUGCUGCUCUGCAGGCACUUCAAGACAAGUAUGGACAGCCAAGACAGCUCGUUCAGUCCGAGUUGGGUGCCAUCCUAAGCACCCCGCCUCUUAAGUUGGGUGAUGCUAAUGCCUUUGAUUCAUUUGCAUUGUCAGUACAAUCCUUAGUGGGUAUGCUAAGAACUCUUGAGGGCCAGAAUGGUUAUGAGCUUUUGAGUGGCUCACAUGUGGACCAUCUCUUGAGUAAACUGCCACCAGCCUAUCGUGACAGUUUUGUUGAAUACUGUUUGAAUCGGGGUAUUCUCCAAACGGGCACAGACAAGACCUACACACUUCCUGAUUUUGCAGACUGGCCCCAGAUAAAGUCCCAAGCAAAACGGAUAUCCAGCAGAGCCGCGGCUAUGUUCCAGAGUGAGACUCCAAAGGCCCCUGGUAGAGCUAGAGGAGCACCUCAUCCCAGGGAGCAGCCAAGGCCAGUUCUCCUGACACGGGAGAGUACAACCAAGACUCCUGAGCUGACAGCACCUAAAUUGAGCUUCAAGCCCAAGCCAUACUGUCCGCAUUGUGACAACAGGGAACACUAUCUCAACUCUUGUGAGGCUUUCAAGAAGUUGACUACCUCCCAGAUUGUAGCUUGGAUUAAAGAGAGUAAACGCUGCUGGAGAUGCGGACGCUUCCAUGCUGUAGAGUCUUGCAACCUCAAAUGUCCAUGUAAAAUCUGUAAAGAGCUACAUCUCACAGUUCUUCACGAUUCUAUCAAAGACACCACCAGUGCUGUCCUCACCGUCAGCCUUCCAUCCACCCGGGUUUACUUGGACAGACCAAACCGUACACCCAGAGUCAUGCUGAAGGUCGUCAAGGUCCUCCUCCAUAAUGGACACCACACAAUGGAGGCACAUGCCGUUCUCGAUGAUGGGUCAGAGAGAACACUCGUGCUUUCCCCAGUCGUGCAGCAGCUCAAGCUUACCUGUACCCCAGAGUUACUGCAUUUACAGACUGUUCGACAAUCUCACACAGAACUUGAUGGGUCGUCUGUUUCCUUUGAGGUCUCAUCAGUCACCAAACCUAUGCAGAGGUUCACUAUUCCCAAUGCCUUUACUGCAACCGGUUUGAGCCUGGCAGAACAUAACUACCCAGUGGCUGCGCUUCAACGAGCUUAUCGUCAUCUGAGAGCUCUUCCUCUUCCCCCUGUUGACAGAGUCAAACCACUACUUCUCAUUGGUUCUGACAUGCCACACCUCCUUAUGCCAAUACAGCCUGUAUGCCGAGGUCCAGACGGGGGUCCAAUAGCCAUCAGAACACAGCUGGGAUGGUCUCUUCAAGGUCCCAUGAGCCCCAAGCAGCCCUCACGGUGUUAUCAGCAGUGCCUUCAUAUCACCACCGCUCCGCCACAUGAUGAUCUGAUUCAGCAUGUCGAACGACUCUGGUUGGUCGACACCCUCCCAUACAAUGAGAGAAUGGUCACCAGGUCCAAGCAAGACAAAGAUGCUCUCGCCAUGCUCCAGAACGACACCACUAGAGUGAACAUAGAUGGCGUUCAGCGUUAUGCCACACCUUUGCUCCGAUGCCAGCCCACGACCAUACUCCAUGCCGACAAGGAUGCUGUUCUUCCCAGUCUUCGAAGUACAGAGCGCAGACUGGCACGAGAUCCUGAACUAGCCAAAUCCUACUGCACUGAAAUCCAUAAAUUGGAAUCUGCUGGAUAUGUAGCCAGGAUAACCACAGAAGAAGCACACAAUACUUCAGAGUCCUGGUACAUUCCGCACCAUAUCGUACACCACAAUGGCAAGGACAGGAUCGUCUUUAACUGUUUCUUUCAACAUCAAGGGCAGUCCUUGAACAGUCAGCUACUUCCUGGUCCGAUGCUGGGACCAUCAUUGUUAGGUGUGCUCCUGAGGUUCCGACAACACAGUGUGGCUGUGAGUGGGGACAUAAAGGGUAUGUUCCACCAGGUUCGCUUGCUACCCAAAGACAAACCAGUGUUGCGGUUCAUUUGGAGGAACAUGUGCAGAGACCAGGAACCUGAGAUAUAUGAAUGGCAGGUGCUUCCGUUCGGAACUACAUGCAGCCCAUGUUGUGCCAUCUACGCCCUCCAGCGCAAUGCCCAAGAACACCAGGAUGACCAGGUCAGUCUGGUUGACAUAGUUGAGAAUUCCUUCUAUGUUGAUAACUGCCUGCACAGCACUUCGAACUCUGAUGAAGCUAAGAAGGUAGUCGAUGGACUUCGUCAACAGUUGUCUGAGGGAGGAUUUGAUAUAAGACAAUGGGCCUGCAAUGUACCCUCUGUCAUUGAACAUCUUCCAACAGAAGCCCGGUCUGCUAACAGUGAACUGUGGUUGACCAAAGCCAGUACAGACCUACAAGAACCCACUCUAGGCCUACGGUGGGAUUGUCUCAGUGACACCCUGGGCUAUAAUUUGCGCUCAACUGAACCCCUAGAGCCUACCAUGAGAAACGUGUACAAAACCUUGGCCAGCCAGUAUGUCCCGCUGGGGUAUAUCAUCCAAUUUACCACCCGGGCCAAGGUUCUCAUCCAAGACCUCUGGAAGCAGAAUUUGGGCUGGGACGAUCCGAUAACACCUCUACAGUUAAGAGAGAAGUGGCUAACAUGGAUAAGAGAGAUUCCUAACCUCCUACAGCUGCAAUUCCCUCGACCUUAUGCACCAGCCUGUGCUGAUUACCCUAGUGCCAUCCGAGAACUCCACAUCUUUUGCGAUGCAUCAGAAAGAGCAUACGGCUCAGUGGCCUAUUUGCGCACUACUGAUGAUCAAGGCCACGUCCAUAUCACUUUCAUUUUGGCCAGAUCCAGAGUGGCUCCCAGAAAAUGCCUCUCCAUGCCUCGUUUGGAACUGAGUGCAGCCCUGACCGGUGCUCAGUUAGCCAAAGUGAUCCAAACUGAGUUGUCUCUAAACAUUCAUACAGUCAUCCUCUGGUCCGACUCAACAACCGUGCUGAACUGGCUGACAUCUGAGUCCUGUCGCUACAAGGUAUUUGUAGGGACACGUGUAGCAGAAAUCCAGACCCUCACAGACAAGGCUGAAUGGCGGUAUAUUGAUUCAGCUCACAACCCUGCUGACCACAUCACAAGAGGGCUAACACUGACCCAGCUAGCAAGUCCCCACCAGUGGAGUUCAGGACCAGACUUUCUCCUUCUACCUUCUGACCAGUGGCCAUCUACACCCGUCAUUACGGUAGAACCAGAGGUCAGUGAGUUGAGGAAAACUGCAUUCAUCGGCACUGUCACAGUCUCCAGUCAUUCACUUCUGGACCCCAAUCAAUUCCACACAUGGCUAGAGCUCGUUCAGGCCACUGUCAGGUCCCUACACGGGGCGGCUGCCACAGACAGUGACUCUUCCCUGCAAGCUGACGAUUAUGUAGAAGCAGAGAAACUCAUCCUGGCUCAAGCUCAACAGGACUCAUUCCCACUAGAAGUCCAAGCUCUGAAGACUGGACAGCCGAUUCCAGCUAACAGCCGUUUGGCAUCCCUUGCACCAGAGUAUGAUAAGGACACAGGUCUCAUCAGAGUAGGGGGUCGAUUACGUCGAGCAAAUGACCUUGACCUGGAUGCCAUUCACCCGAUUGUGUUGGAUCCUGGUCAUUCUACAACUAAGCUGUUAAUCAAAGAGACAGACUGCAGACUUCUGCAUCCUGGUUCUGAAAGGGUGCUAGCAGAAUUGCGUCGUCAGUUUUGGAUACUUCGGGGCAGAGAAGCCAUCCGUAAGCAUCAGCGCAAAUGUCAAGAUUGUCAGUUCUGGCGAGCUAAGCCUGAAGUCCCCCAAAUGGCCGAUCUUCCAUCCUGCAGGCUGCAACUUCAACCGCCAUUCUAUUCUACUGGGGUAGAUUGUUUCGGCCCCUUUUCAAUCAAAGUUGGUCGUCGCCACGAAAAAAGAUGGGGCAUCCUCUAUAAAUGCAUGACAACCCGAUGCGUUCACCUUGAUCUGUUGGAACACCUUGACACUGAUGCAUUCCUGCUCUCUCUGCGUCGAUUUAUAGCACGACGAGGUAAGCCCAUGGAAUUGCUCUGCGACAACGGUACCAACUUUGUAGGAGGAGAUCGAGAACUACGUGAGACCUUCGAUGUCAUGGCCCCUAAGCUUCAAGAGCUGCUUGCUCCACAGAAGAUCAGAUUCCGCUACAUUCCACCAAAUGCUCCUCAUUUCGGAGGAACCUGGGAGCAUGAAGUCAAGUCUGUAAAGACUGCACUACGUGUCAUUCUGCGAGAGCAAACGGUGCCAGAGCCAGUGCUGCAGACCUUGUUAGUGGAAGUCGAGGGCAUUCUAAAUGCCAAGCCUCUUGGCUACGUAUCUUCUGAUGUCGCAGACAUAGACCCAGUGACUCCGAACCUACUCCUUAUGGGCCGUCGCGAUGCCUCCCUACCUCAAGUCUUAUUCGACUCUACCAACCUGCUCGGAAGACGCAGAUGGAGACACAGCCAGGUGUUGGCGGAUCAUUUCUGGACUGCCUUCAUCCGAGAUUACCUCCCAAGUUUGCAGGAUCGGCAUAAGUGGAGAAAGGAUGGCCGAGAGCUGACUGUGGGUCAAGUGGUUCUCAUUGUUGAUCCCCAACUUCCUCGUGCCCUCUGGCCUGUAGGUACAGUGACUGAGACGUUGGCUGGACCUGAUGGAAAAAUUUGCACCGCUCGGGUCAGAGUUCAUGGGAAAUCCUACACUCGCCCAGUUGUUAGGUUGAUUCCACUUCCUCACUUUGAGGAAGAGCUUUAG